Molecule: small RNA, 999 nt
Filed under: Pongo abelii (Sumatran orangutan)
Lineage: Eukaryota; Metazoa; Chordata; Mammalia; Primates; Hominidae
Description: retained intron
Source: RNAcentral
GAGACCUUCCCGACGACCCCUGCUCCGGCGGGGAAGUGAGCAAGGAUGAUUGAGGAAAGUGGGAACAAGCGGAAGACCAUGGCAGAGAAGAGGCAGCUGUUCAUAGAAAUGCGUGCUCAGAAUUUUGAUGUCAUACGACUGUCAACUUACAGAACAGCCUGCAAAUUACGAUUUGUACAAAAACGAUGCAACCUUCAUCUUGUUGAUAUCUGGAACAUGAUUGAAGCCUUCCGAGACAAUGGCCUUAAUACACUGGACCAUACCACCGAGAUCAGUGUGUCCCGCCUCGAAACUGUCAUCUCCUCCAUCUACUAUCAGUUGAACAAGCGCCUUCCUUCUACUCACCAAAUUAGUGUGGAACAAUCUAUCAGCCUCCUCCUCAACUUUAUGAUUGCUGCAUAUGACAGAGAAAGAUAAUGCUAAAUAUGUUUUUAGACAUGAUGAUGGCUGACCCUCCUCCCCAGUGCCUUGUCUGGCUACCUCUCAUGCACAGGCUUGCCCAUGUUGAGAAUGUCUUCCAUCCCGUGGAGUGCUCCUACUGCCGAUGUGAGAGUAUGAUGGGUUUCCGGUACCGAUGCCAGCAGUGCCACAACUAUCAGCUCUGCCAGAAUUGCUUUUGGCGUGGCCAUGCCGGUGGCCCUCACAGCAACCAGCACCAGAUGAAGGAGCAUUCCUCUUGGGUAACUGCUUUGUGUUUCAUCUGUGUCCCUGAGUGUUAAUCUGUUUGAUCAGUAACAGCACCUGGACCAGUUUCCUCAUGGAUGCCUCCCAAAUAAGGAUGUGGUAUAGUAAAAUCUUAACACUAACAUUUAUGCCAGAAUUGCAAAAAUGUGCUUCCUCACUUGAUUUUAAAAGCAGAAUUUUAAAAAAUUCCAGGAAAUAAAGAUACUACAUUUGAAAUGGUCUCUUUUAUUCAGUAAAAUGGAAUGUUGCAAUGCUCUCUUUCCAAAGGGAAAAGUGAGUUUCUUCUUAUUUUAAAACUGUACAGGCCAGGCGCGG